Molecule: unclassified non-coding RNA, 278 nt
Filed under: Bombus terrestris (buff-tailed bumblebee)
Lineage: Eukaryota; Metazoa; Arthropoda; Insecta; Hymenoptera; Apidae
Description: misc RNA ENSBTSG00005024784.1
Source: RNAcentral
AUACUGUAAUAACAUGUUUGAGUAUAAUAUGCGAUAGAGAAUCAAAAGGCCAUACGAUUCAAAACAAGAAAUCGUAAAAAUAUAUCUUACACAUCCUAUAUGAGUGGCAGCCAAUCGCUUUCAAGAAAUUGUCGACGAAUACGGACAUUCAGGACAACGGUGGUAUUUCAGCAAUGUCCACAACGAAACGUCGAUUGUUUGAAGCCUUGACGCUAUUCAACGUUCCAAGAAUUUUCAAGAAAUACAUUUAACAUUGUUAGUCUAGACUAUGUACGUAU